RNAcentral lists this ribosomal RNA (468 nucleotides) under uncultured bacterium. RNAcentral's name for it is "partial 16S ribosomal RNA". It matches the Rfam family "Bacterial small subunit ribosomal RNA", at positions 28 to 507 of the family's 1533-position model. The record is from RNAcentral.
GACGAACGCUGGCGGCGUGCUUAACACAUGCAAGUCGAACGGAAAGGCCCUGCUUUUGUGGGGUGCUCGAGUGGCGAACGGGUGAGUAACACGUGAGUAACCUGCCCUUGACUUUGGGAUAACUUCAGGAAACUGGGGCUAAUACCGGAUAGGAGCUCCUGCUGCAUGGUGGGGGUUGGAAAGUUUCGGCGGUUGGGGAUGGACCCGCGGCUUAUCAGCUUGUUGGUGGGGUAGUGGCUUACCAAGGCUUUGACGGGUAGCCGGCCUGAGAGGGUGACCGGCCACAUUGGGACUGAGAUACGGCCCAGACUCCUACGGGAGGCAGCAGUGGGGAAUAUUGCACAAUGGGCGGAAGCCUGAUGCAGCAACGCCGCGUGCGGGAUGACGGCCUUCGGGUUGUAAACCGCUUUCGCCUGUGACGAAGCGUGAGUGACGGUAAUGGGUAAAGAAGCACCGGCUAACUAUGUG